GUUAAAGUGGCAGAUUAGUGCAUUAGAGUUAAGUUCUAAAUAUGAAUGUUUAUUCCUUUAGUA
RNAcentral lists this transfer RNA (63 nucleotides) under Tetrastemma olgarum. RNAcentral describes it as "tRNA-Leu". The record is from RNAcentral. Lineage: Eukaryota; Metazoa; Nemertea; Enopla; Monostilifera; Tetrastemmatidae.